Long non-coding RNA from Thalassophryne amazonica, 767 nucleotides. RefSeq lists it as uncharacterized. The transcript has 2 exons. The record is from RefSeq and is a predicted model, not a curated record. NCBI's taxonomy places the organism in Eukaryota, Metazoa, Chordata, Actinopteri, Batrachoidiformes, Batrachoididae.
AGAAAAAAAUUGAAGCUUUCACAGUUUGGAUUCCAUUUAUUUAAAAAUACAAAAGUCCAGUUCAGGAAAUAAAACUUUAAAAUGAGAGAUGAGUUUGGGCUAAAUACCAUCACAAGAAUAAAGUUGUAACUGCACAAUUGAAAAAAAAAAAAGAAAAAAAAAUACAAAUCAUAAUUGGGUAAGAAAAAAAUAUGGGAAAUUAGUCAGAAUUGUGAUCAGCAAAAAUGUUUCAAGUAUUUUAGUGUUAAAUCUGAAGUGUAAAUAAAGGUACGAGUUUGUUAACAGUCAUGUAUAUCCCAUCGAUGGGAAAAUUCACUUUUUAUUUGUGAGAUACGGACAAAACAAAAUGAGGCAGGUGGGGGGGAGUUAAGCUUUUGCCAAAGUUCGAAUUUUGCCAAAAAAAAAACAAAAAAAAAAACUUGUGAAAAAGUUAGUGUUGUGCCCAAAGAUAGCAUCUAGAAUUUAAGGUUGUAAUUUUAUGAGAAGUCAUGGAUAUUUGGUUUUAUUUUAAAUGCAUCAAGAACUUUUAAUUUAUAAAAGUCUUGUUUUGUUACCCUGUAUGUCAAAAUAUUUGACAUUCACAUAAUUCUUUUAUUCUCUAAAAUUUUCUAUUAAAUUUAGAAUUUUAACAGCACUUUGAUAAUGCAAAACAUUACAACUUUAUUCUUGAAAAAUCUUUUUCCCUGUGAUAGCUCAUUACAGUCGCUCAACCAAUCAGGUUUCAUCACAGUGAACACACCCACAUCUACUGAAGAAUCACAUUUGAG